AACAGAUAUAUUUAUUUUAUUACAAUUAACUUUCACAAAUAUGUCACAACCACAGACUUUCUGUAUCUAAACUUUGCUACAUAUUUGGUCAACAGAAUGCUGGUGGUUUUACUGCAUCAUAUGUUGGAGAUACUUAGACCUGGAAAGAGUCAGAACCAUUUAACCCAACAAUCCUUAAGCUUUGUACUUUUAAAUAACCAGUAUGGUGGCACCACUAGAACUUUUGCAUGUUUGAAGAUCUUUUUAUGAAGAUAUGGAAGAUUAACACAUAUUUACAUUACAAAAUAAUUUUUGUCAAAGUUCUCAGACAUUCUUUAACACGUAGCAUAGCAGCAUCUAACCACUUCCUUCUUCUCAGUACCUCCUCCAAACAUGUACUAGAAACCACAGAGUUUGCUGUUCCAGUUUGUCUUCUGCUCUCUGAUGGUCAUCAUGUUCUGGAGGAACACGGCAGUUCUGAUCCUGAUCCAGCUGAUUCAGGCUCAGCAGAUCUUUGCAGCUCCACCGUUAACUGAACUCAGAAGCCUGGAGGUUUCCAGAGGAGAUUCAGUCACUUUGACUUGUAACAUGUCUGUGGAAGAAGCAUCAUUAGUCAAAUGGAUCAAAGGAAAUUUAUCAUUUGUUCAUUCCAUCGUUCUCGAUGCUACUGUUUCAAAUUUCUCUUCUUCAAAGAUCAGUAUAGAGACCGAACUCCCUUCAAAGUUAAAUAUACUGAAUGUUCUAGAUGAAGACGAAGGACUUUAUAUUUGUACUGUAAUUGACAGGAAAGGACUAAAUACAAUUAUAUGGAACCUAACAGUCGAAGAAGUGAAAAUUUCUUCAGGAAUCAGUCAUUCAGUUUAUCCUUCUCUAAGAGUCCCGAUUGCAGCAGGAUUUCUGCUGUGUUGCAUCAUUUUAGUCGUCUGCGUCCACAGAAAAUGUAGAAGAUCAGAGUCUCAGUGAGACGAGAGCAUCUGUGUCUUUAUGCUGAACACAAUAGAAGAAGAUGACAGGAGAGAACAUGGAGAUGAAGGAAAGGAGUUUCAACAUCCAGUAGAGAUGGAGUCUUGGACUUUAGAAGCUGUUUUUAAGGGGUUAAAUGUGACAUUUAUGUGGUUUAAACAUGAAGAUUUAAUUGGAUAAGAAGAAAUAUUUCAACAUUAAAAACUAAAUACUGUUUUAUUUCAAA
Molecule: long non-coding RNA, 1168 nt
Organism: Oryzias melastigma (Indian medaka)
Lineage: Eukaryota; Metazoa; Chordata; Actinopteri; Beloniformes; Adrianichthyidae
Exons: 5
Source: RefSeq, a predicted model, not a curated record